AACGAACGCUGGCGGCAUGCCUAACACAUGCAAGUCGAACGAGACCUUCGGGACUGGUGGCGCACGCGUGCGUAACGCGUGGGAACCUGCCCUUAGGUUCGGAAUAACUCCCCGAAAGGGGUGCUAAUACCGGAUAAUUUCUUCGAACCAAAGAUUUAUCGCCUUUGGAUGGGCCCGCGUUGGAUUAGCUAGUUGGUAGGGUAAAAGCCUACCAAGGCGACGAUCCAUAGCUGGUCUGAGAGGAUGAUCAGCCACACUGGGACUGAGACACGGCCCAGACUCCUACGGGAGGCAGCAGUGGGGAAUAUUGGACAAUGGGCGAAAGCCUGAUCCAGCAAGGCCGCGUGAGUGAUGAAGGCCUGAGGGUUGUAAAGCUCGUUUACCCGGGAUGAUAAUGACAGUACCGGGAGAAUAAGCUCCGGCUAACUCCGUG
Molecule: ribosomal RNA, 433 nt
Filed under: uncultured bacterium
Lineage: Bacteria
Description: partial 16S ribosomal RNA
Rfam family: Bacterial small subunit ribosomal RNA
Source: RNAcentral